Molecule: non-coding RNA, 209 nt
Organism: Thamnophis sirtalis
Lineage: Eukaryota; Metazoa; Chordata; Lepidosauria; Squamata; Natricidae
Source: RefSeq, a predicted model, not a curated record
GGAUUCUAUUAUUUGAAGUUCAGACAUUCUUGUAAAUCAACAUUCCUGUGAACAUGAAGUUGAAUGCUUCAACCAAUUAUUUUGUUGCCUUUUUUCCAUUUUUUUAUCUGGCAGGCCUGCAAUACUCAACUGCUAUUGGAAGUAAUGUUCGUGACAUGAUACACGGAAUCACAGUUCAUAUACGAGGUAAGUUGAGUUCUUCUAUUCUC